AGUUCAUGCCCUCACGGGUAGAUCUCCCACCCUUUGAGUACUAUACUUUUGUUGUCUUUGGCAGGCCGCUUCGGCUACCGGCUUCGGCUGGUGAGUGCCUGCCAGAGGACCCCAAACUCUGAAUUAUAGUGUCGUCUGAGAACUAUAUAAUAGUUAAAACUUUCAACAACGGAUCUCUUGGUUCUGGCAUCGAUGAAGAACGCAGACGAAAAUGCGAUAAGUAAUGUGAAUUGCAGAAUUCAGUGAAUCAUCGAAUCUUUGAACGCACAUUGCGCCCCUUGGUAUUCCGGGGGGCAUGCCUGUUCGAGCGUCAUUAUAACCCUCAAAGCCUAGCUUGGUGUUGGAGCCUGCCUCUGGGCAGCUCUUAAAAAUCAGUGGCGGUGCCGUCUGGCUCUAAAGCGUAAUAAUUCUUCUCGCUACAGGGUCCCGGCGGUUGCUUGCCAACAACCCCAAAUUUUCUAUGGUUGACCUCGGAUCAGGUAGGGAUACCCGCUGAACUUAAGCAUUUCAUUNGG
This 515-nucleotide ribosomal RNA is filed under the name uncultured fungus. Its description in RNAcentral is "eukaryotic LSU rRNA". The stretch from base 158 to 313 matches the Rfam family "5.8S ribosomal RNA". Lineage: Eukaryota; Fungi. The record is from RNAcentral.